RNAcentral lists this ribosomal RNA (497 nucleotides) under uncultured bacterium. Its description in RNAcentral is "partial 16S ribosomal RNA". It matches the Rfam family "Bacterial small subunit ribosomal RNA", at positions 28 to 507 of the family's 1533-position model. The record is from RNAcentral.
GAUGAACGCUGGCGGCGUGCCUAAUACAUGCAAGUCGAGCGAACAGAUGAGGAGCUUGCUCCUCUGACGUUAGCGGCGGACGGGUGAGUAACACGUGGAUAACCUACCUAUAAGACUGGGAUAACUUCGGGAAACCGGAGCUAAUACCGGAUAAUAUAUUGAACCGCAUGGUUCAAUAGUGAAAGACGGUUUUGCUGUCACUUAUAGAUGGAUCCGCGCCGCAUUAGCUAGUUGGUAAGGUAACGGCUUACCACGGCAACGAUGCGUAGCCGACCUGAGAGGGUGAUCGGCCACACUGGAACUGAGACACGGUCCAGACUCCUACGGGAGGCAGCAGUAGGGAAUCUUCCGCAAAGGGCGAAAGCCUGACGGAGCAACGCCGCGGGAGUGAUGAAGGUCUUCGGAUCGUAAAACUCUGUUAUUAGGGAAGAACAAAUGUGUAAGUAACUAUGCACGUCUUGACGGUACCUAAUCAGAAAGCCACGGCUAACUACGUG